GGCUGGGGGAUGCACCUCCAUUUUGUGGACUGCGGAGGUAUGUUGAGAGAGUGGCUCAGGUGGGCUUCAGUUAAGGCUGUGGGUGGUGGAGAGGUCAGCAGACUUCUUGGGGUCCAGCCCUUAAGGAGAUGGGCAUAUUGCCAGGUUCGGUGAAGGAUAUCCCCUUCAUUCCUGUGAACCUGGCUCUGAGCCAGGCACGGUCCAGGUGUUCCAGGUGAGGGAGGAGUAAAGGGCUGGAGAUGUUCCGUAACUUGCCCAAGGUCAUGCUGCUUUUGAGGGCCUAUACACCACACCAGCCUUUCACACAGCAGGUGACAUCGUGGCUCGUCCUUGAGUACAAGGACAUUGCUGUGCUUGUCAUGGUGCCUAAACAAUUGGUAGCCAUUCUUGGUGGUUCUGGGCUGAGGUUUGGCAUGAUGGCCACGUUCUACAGAGAAGGGAAGAGUGAGAAACAGCCCAUAGGCUCAGCUGAUGUGGACCCCAGGGAUGGGACCAGUAACCUGCCCCAGGGUCAACGUGUGUACCUGCACCUGUGUUUUCUAGAAUGUUCUGUCAGUACCCUGUAAGGGAUGGAAAAGGCUCAGUGAAAGUGUGAAGACACGCCUCGUUCUUAAAUCUAAAGAUGAUUUGCAAACACUUCGAGUUUGCUUUUAUUAAACUCAAAACCAAACCUGUUGCAAUCGAGUCACUUCUGACUUAUGGUGACCAUGUGCAUUAUGUAGUAGAACUGCUCCAUAGGAUUUUCUUGGCUGUAAUCUUUACAGAAGCAGAUCGCUACUCCUGAGGUGCUGCUGGGUGGGUUCAAACCACCAACCUUUAGAUGCCAUUCAGGAACUCACAGUAGCUAGUCUGAAUGCAACCCAAUCACAAAAUACCAACAGGAUUUUUUUUUUUUAAACUUUACAACAUCAGACCUUUUGGGAACCUAAACGUGGCAACAUAGCCAGGUAGAUUCUGGAAAGAGGAAAGAACUCGUCGAUUUGAUUCCAACUCAGCAACCCUGUAAGACAGAAUAGGACUACCCCAUAGGGUUUCCAAGGAACGGCUGGUGGAUUUGAACUGCCAAACUUUUGGUUAGCAGCUGUAGCAUUUAACCUCUGCACCACCAGGGCUCCAAAAAUAUCAAAACUAGGGAGGUACAUUUUUGCAUGUCAAGUCAAUUUUAUCAUAUUUUAAAAUUACGAAGUAUUUAUUAUCUAAAAACUAACCAAACCCAUUGCCAUCAAGUCAAUUCCAACUCAUAGUGACCCUGUAGGACAGAGUAGAACUGACCCAUAAAGCUUCCAAGGAGCACCUGGUGGGUUCAAACUGCCAAUCUUUUGGUUAGCACUUAACCACUAUGCCACCAGCGUUUCCAUUUAGCGUCCAUAAAGUAUUAUGUAUGUUAUAUAUAAAGGAACGAACAAAUUUGUCUUGGAAGAAGUACAGCCAGAAUGCUUCUUAAAAGCAAGGAUGGUGAGACUUCACCUCGUGUAUGCUUCUUAAAAGCAUGGAUGGUGAGACUUCCUCUCGUGUACUUUGGACAUGUCAUCAGGAGGGCCAGUCCCUGGAGAAGGACAUCAGGCUUGGUAGACAGUCAGUGAAAAAGGAAGACCCUCAAUGAGAUGGAUUGACACAGUGGCUGCAACAAUGGGCUCAAGCAUAACAACCAUUGUGAGGGUGGCACAGGACCAGGUAGUGUUUUGUUCCGUUGUACAUAGGGUUGCUAUGACUCAGAACUGACUCGACAGCACCUAAGGACAACAAUAUGUAAAUGAUUAGUAUGCGAGUUAAUGAAGCAUAAUGAUCAGUGUGUACAUGGAAACAAGACUGCCAAGAAGACCAUUGAAAUUCCCUGUACACUCCUCUCCCUUUGCCGCGGCUGACAAACUGCCCCGGAACUCAGUGGCCUGAAACAGCAGUGUAUUCUUUCUCCUGAUUCUGUGGGCUGACAGUUGGGCUGGAUGACAGCAGCUCCACGUGGGGUAGCUGCAUUCAGCUGGGCGCUUGGCUGGGGCUGGAGCAUCCAAGUUGGCCUCUUCACACGUGACCUCUCAUUCAACAGGCGAGCCUGGCCAUGGCGACAGCUGGGCAACUGAGCACCAAGAAGGGGAAGCAGAAGCUGCCAGCCCUCCCGGAGCAUGAAUUCCUCUACUGGUCAAAGCAAGUCACAAACCAGCCUGGAUUCAAGGAGAGGGGAAAUAGACCACCUCUAAAAAAACCAACCCAAACCCAUUGCCGUCGAGUCGAUUCCGACUCGAUAGGACAGAGUAGAACUGCCCCAUAGGAGUGGCUGGUGGAUUCGAACUGCCGACCUUUUGUUUAGCAGCCUGAGCUCAACCAUUGCACCAUCAGAGCUCCAGACCACCUCUAGGUGUGGGGAAAGAACCUUGGUGGCGCAGUGAUUAAGCACUGAGCUGCUAACCAAAAGUUCAGUGAUUUGAACCCACCAGCAGCUCCACAAGAGAAAGAUGGAGCAGUCUGCUUCUGUAGAGCUCACAGCCUUGGAAACCCUAUGGGGCAGUUCUACUCGGUCCUACAGGGUUGGUAUGAGUCGGAAUCGACCUGGGUGGCAAUGGGGUUGGUUUUGUUUGCUUUGUUUUAGAUGUGGUGAGGGAGUCCUGGGCAAUGCAAAGGGCUAACGCACUCAGCUGUAAACCAAAAGGUUAGUAGUUGGAGUCUACCCAGAGUUGUCUCCGAAGAAAGGCCCGGUGAUUUCCUUCUGAAAAGUAAGCCUUUGAAAACCCUAUGGAGCACAGUUCUACUCAGACACAUGGGGCUGUCAUGAAUCAGAAUCAACUCCACUGUUUUGUUUUUUUUUAAUGUGGGAGGAGGAAGCACGCGUGUUCAGGGAUGGAAGGAAUCAAUGGCAGCCAUAUUUGGAGGCUACUUCAUCACCCCAGCUCCCUAACCUUCCCCAACUCUGCCUCAAUAUCCUGUGAGGGACAUAGAAGUCAGUUGCCAUGGAGUCGAUUCAGACCCCACGUGUAUCAGUGUAGAACUGUACUCCAUAGGGUCUUCAAUGGCUGAUUUUUUGGAAGUAGAUCACCAGGCUUUUCUUCCAACGUGCCUCUGGGUGUACUCAACUGCCAACAUUUUGAUCAGCAGCUGAGCGUGUUAACCAUUUCCACCACCUGGCCACUCCAUGACAGACAUAAAAGACACGCUUUAUUAUUUUUAUUUAUUUAUUUUUAUUGUGCUUUAGAUGAAGGUUUACAGAACAAACUAGUUUCUCAUCGAACAGUUAGUACACGCAUUGUUCUAUGACAUUGGUUAACAACCCCACAACGUGUCAACACUCCCUUCUCAACACUGGGUUCCCUAUUACCAGGUUUCCCGUUCCCUUCUGCCUUCCAGUCCCUGCCCCAGGGCUGGUGCACCGCUUUAGUCUUGUUUUGUUCCAUGGGCCUGUUCAAUCUUUGACUGAAGGGUGAACCUCAGGAGUGACCUCAUUACUGAGCUGAAAGGGUAUCUGGGGCCAUACUCUCAGGGUUUCUCCUGUCUCUGUCAGGCCAGCAAGUCUACUCUUCCUUUUUGAGUUAGAAUUUUGUUCUACAUUUUUCUCCAGCUCUGUCGGGGACUCUCUAUUGUGAUCCCUGUCAGAGCAAUCAGUGUUGGUAGCCGGACACCAUCUAGUGGUACUGGACUCAGUCUGGUGGAGGCCGUGGUAGAUGUGGUCCAUUAGUCCUUUGGACCAAUCUUUCCCUUGUAUCUUUAGUUUUCUUCAUUCUUCCUUGCUUCUGAAGGGGUGAGACAAGUGGAGUAUCCUAGAUGGCCUUUCACAAGCUUUCAAGAGCCCAGAUGCUACUCGCCAAAGUAGAACGUAGAACAUAUUCUUUAUAAACUAUGCUAUGGUUAUGUCAAUUGAGCCAGAUGUUCCCCAAGAUCAUGGUCCCCACAGCCCUCAGCCCAGCAAUGUGGUCCAUCAGGGAGUUUGGAUGAAGACACACUCUAUUCUUAGAUCUAAAGACAGCCUUGAAAAUAAGUCCAUUUUCCUCGUAUUAGCUAAUUUCCUUUUGUUAGCCAAUUUAGGUAACUCCUAUCCUGGGUUUCCCUUUCCUUUAUGGUUGUGCCGCGUUUCUAUGAACCCCUAAAUAGUAUCUUGUGACAUUUUGCUUGGAUUUGAACAUAACGGUGGCAACAAAAUACAUGUGUAUUGACUGACUUUCUCUUCUCAACCUUGUAUUUCUAAGAUUCAUCCAUGCUGAUGCCUAUGGUAGUGUUUAAUUCAUUUUUCCUGCUGUAUGUUAAUCCAUUAUGUAAAUGUACAGUUUACUCGCUUAUUCUCAUAACAGUGAAUAUUUGAGUUGUUCCUAACUGUUUGCAAUCACAAUGCUUCCAUGAACGUUUCUUAUAUCAACUUCCUGGCGCACCUGUGCAAGGAGUUGUCUGUUGUAUAUGCCUGGAAGUGGCAUCAUUGGGUCACAUGGUGUGCAAAUAUUCAACUUGGCGAAUUCUACCCAAUUGUUUUUCAAGGAACUGAACCAGUUUACACUCCCACCUGUGCUGCAUAGACGUUCUCCUUGUCCUGAUCCUUGGCGGCCCUUAAUGUUAACAACCUUUAGGAUUUUGGCCAAUCAGUUGAGGGUAAAAUGGAAUUUCAUUACUAUUUUAAUUUUUAUUUCCCUGAUUAUUAUUAAAGCGGAACAAGCUUUACUGUGUUUAUUGGACAUUCAAAUCUCCUUUCCUAUAAAAUCCCUGUUGGUGUUCUUUUGCCAAUUUUCUUGUUACAUGCUUGCCUUAGUUAUCAAGUGCUGCUAUAACAGAAAUUCCACAAGCGGAUGGCUUUAACAAGGCGAAAUUUAUUCUCCCACAGUUUAGGAGGCUAUAAGUCCGAGUUCUGGAUGCCAGCUCCAGGGGAAGGCUUUCUUUUUCUGUUGGCUCUGGAGGAAGAUCCGUGUAAUCAAUCUUCCCCUGGUCUAGGAGCUUCUCAGCGCAGGGACCCCGGGUCCGAAGGAUGCACUGCCCUCUUGGUUCCUCAUUCUUGGCAUUAGGAGGUCCCUCUCCUCUCUGCUUGCGUCUCUCUUUUAUAUCUCGAAAGGGAUUGACUGAAGAUACAACCUAACCCUAUAGAUUGAGUCCUGCCUCAUUAACAUGACUACCUCUAAUCCUGCUUCAUUAACACAUAAGAAAAAUCAGAUCACAAAAUGGUGGACUACCACACAGUAUUGGGCACCAUGCCCCGGCCAAAUUAACACACAUUUUUGGGGGGACACAAUUCAAUUCAUAACAAUGCUUUAUGUUUGUCUUAUUGGUUUGUAGGAGUUCCUUAUGUAUAUAUAUGUUUUAUGCAAUUCUUUAUCUAUUUUGCUGUUAAUUGCCUAAUUGUGUGACUUGUCUUUUCACUUUCUUUGUAUUCUCUUUGAUGAGGAAAUUAUUUAGUGUAGUCAAAUAUGUCAGCUUUUUUCUUUACAGUUAGGACUUUUUGUGUCCGUGUCAGAAAUCCUUCUUAUCCCAAGGUUGUAGAGAUAUUCUCUUAUAUUUUUCUUCUAAUAGUUUUAAAGUUUUGUAUUUUACAUUCAAGUCUUUUAAGCCCCCUGGACUUAAUUCCUAGGUAUGGUGUGAGGUAGGGAUAACCAUUUGUUUGGGGACUUUUUUAUUUUCCUCACUGAGAUGGAGUCUAUGUCUGCAAAGAUCAAAUGUUCAAAUGUGUGAGGUAUAUUUCUGGGCUUUCUUUUCUGUCCUACUGGGUCUAUCCCUUGUAUAACCACACUUAAAAUAAGUCUUGAUAUCUGGUUGUGCGAGUCUUCUACCUUGAUCUACUUUAGCAGUGUUUUGCCUAUUUUUGGCCCUUUAUUCCUGCAUAUACAUUUAAUAAACAAUUCAUCAUGUUUCAUGAAAAUUUCUGUAGAUGUUUUCAUCAGGUUUGUAUUAAAUCUAUAGAUCCACUUGGGGAGAACUGAAAUCAUUGUAAUAUUGAGUGUUCUGAUUCAUGAACGUGGUAUUUAAAAAAUUUAUUUAGAUCUUUAAUAUCUUCUAAUACAGUUUUAUGAAGAGCUGGUGGCACAGCAGUUAAGAUCUCAGCUGCUAACGUGAAAAGGUCGGCGGUUUGAAUUCACCAACCACUCCUCGGAAACCCCCUGGGGCAGUUCUACUCUGUCCUAUAGGGUCAAUAUGAGUCAGAAUCAACUCGAUGGCAGUGGGCUUUUGGUAAAUACAUGUCAUGGAUUGAAUUGUGUCCCCCCAAAAUAUCUGUCAACUUAGCUGGGCCAUGAGUCCCAGUAUUGUGUGAUUGUCCACCAUUUUAUGCAAUUUCCCUGUGUGUUGUAAAUCCCAUCACUAUGAUGAAAUGAGAUGUAUUAGUGGCAGCUGUAAUGAUGAGAUAUACAAGAUUAGAUAGUGUCUUAAGCCAAUCUUUUUGAGAUAUAAAAGAGAGAAGCAAGCAGAGAGACAUGGGGACCUCAUACCACCAAGAAAGCACUGCUGGGAGCAGAACGUGUCCUUUGGACCUGAGGUUCCUACACUGAGAUGCUCCCACACCAAGGGAAGCUUGAUGAUGACGACCUUCCUUCAGAGCUGACAGAGAGAGAAAGACUUUGCCUGGAGCCGGUGCUUACUUCUAGCCUACUGAACUGUGAGAGAAUAAAAUUUUCUUUAUUAAGGCCAUUCAUUUGUGGUAUUUCUGUUACAGCAGCACUGGAUGACCAAGACAGAAUUUGGUACUGAGAAAGCGGGGUGCUGCUGUAACAGAUACCUAAAAUGUCGAAGCAGUUUUGAAACUGUGAAUGGAUAGAGAACCAGCAGCGGCACAGAUGCGGCAGCAGCAGAGAACCAGCAGCAGCAGAACCAGGAGACCAGCGCGAGAUGGCGCUGGAGCCAACCCACGGAGCUAGAGAACUGAGUUCCUGUGCGCAGAAGGCUUCCUGGUGGAGUAUGGUGCCUCCGGGCACUUAUCUGUGGAGCUACAGAGUUUUAGAACACUUGCCCCAGCAGGGCAGAUGUGGGUAUGAGGCCCAAGGAGCCGAGAGGCCAAGAUACCAGGAAGCAGAAGCUGAAGAGACAAGGAACACAAGAAGCAGAGCUGCCUUAGUCUCAGAAGGUGCAGAAGGAAGAGAAAACUCACAAUGGAAACUGAAAAUGAAAAAACCUCCAUGUCUCAAUAUGUAAUGCAGAGGGAAGAUGCCGUGGAGGCUAAAAAGAUGCAACAACGAUUAUAUUAAUUACUCCAUAAACAGAAGCACCCAUCAAAAAAAAAAUCAAAUCACCUUUUGCUACCAAGAAACACAGAGAAAACCAAAAGAGACAGAGUAAAACAAUAGGACAACCUGUUUUCUCAAGCACACAGAAUGCCAAAAAAGAAGAGAAUCCAGAAUCUGACAGUCAGUUUUUUCUAGUGAAGAGGUUUGAGAGAGGAACCUGGAGGCUGCACAUUGGGAACAAUUAUAGUAAAGAAUUAAAACACAAAACGCUCAAGUUUGUGUUCCAAAGAGCGUAGCAAGAACCGCAUAAUGGGAACCUACCAGAACUGCAAAGAGAAAUAAAUAGACAUGGAAAUAUAGUUGUAGCUGGAGACCUUAAUUCCCCCUCUCAGAAUACCAUUGAUCAGAUAGAGAAAUGAGAGCUUCGAGCAGCCCAAUUAAAAAGCAGAACCAGCAGAUCAAUGACAAGGAUGCAAUCAAGGGAAUGUACUCUCUUUAUGAGGGUGCAAGGGUCUUUCACAACAUUUAUGCCAUUCCUGGCCUAGGGCAAAGCACUCAAAGGCCACGGCAAUUCCACAUACCUAGUUCUCAACCGGUAAAGAAAACACAGCUCUUUGCUGAUCCUAACCACUUAGCUAUGGCUUCAUGAUAUUAAUAACAUAUAACAGACAUUUCUGCAUGGUCUCUCAAAUCCCCUCUUAAAAAACGCAAGUCAGAGCUAAAAUUAGGGGUGCAUUAUGGAAAUAUUAGAAAUGGAACAAAUAUGUUGCAGUCCUGGGAGGUUGUUAUAAUUGUCCCUAUUUUAUAGAUAAGAACAGCAAGUAAGGCUCAGAGAAGCUAAGGAGUCUGCCUGAGGUCAAACAGGCAGUGAGGGGUCUAGCUGGAGCUCACAUCCUGAGUCUCCUCUUUAUCUUCUCCGGGUCCCAGUCCCUCUCCAGCAUCCCCUGCCAGAGUGCCUGGGACAUCCAGGAGCUUCUAGCUCACCUCCUCACCCCUUCCCAUGCCUGGCUCCGUCAGACACUCCCCUCUCUCCUCACAGGCUUCCCUCCCUCCUAAAACAUCUUAAACAAAAAUGGGAAUUCCUAUGUGUCUUUGCAAACAGGAAAGAAAGUGAGCAGUGAAGUGAACCAAAGCUACACAUAGAGAAUCUAGAAGAGGAGCAUGGGGUACCAGUGGCCCCUUGCAUGUCUCUGGCCAGCCUAGGAUGGUUUGUCUGCAGGAGUUGCCAGCAGGGUGGGGCCUGUGCAGAGGUGAGGGAGCCACACACAGCAGGUGUAGAAAGGACUAGAGCUGCUCAUAACCCAUGGAAGAAAACACGUCCUCGGCACCCUUCAAUGCUCAAGUGGAGCCCCACUGUACGACUUCAAGGGGCAGUGAAGGGAAUGGGUUUCCUUUUAAAGCCUGUUAAAUAUAUUAAAUAUUAAAUAUAUCUCUAUUAAAACCAGAUUAUCUUGCAGCCUGAGUGUCUGAGAGCAGACAAAAACAAUCUCGUGAGGUAGUGAGCUCUCCGUCACCAGAGGUAUGCAAGCAAAGGCAGGAGGCCUGUUUAACCAGGAUAUUGUCAAGUGAAUUUACACAGAUAGAAAUGUCUUACUGGAGGGUUUUUUUGUCUUGUUUUGUUUUAAAAUCUGAACUGGGAUUUUCUUUCAUAAAAUAUAUCUUCUAAUGUUUAGUGUUCUAAAGUUAGGAAACCCUGGUCACGUAGUGGUUAAGUGCUACAGCUGCUAACCAAAAGGUCCGCAGUUUGGAUCCGCCACGUGCUCCUCGGAAACUUUAGGGGGCAGUUCUACUCUGUCCUAUAGGGUCGCUAUGAGUCGGAAUCAACUUGAUGGCAGCGGGUUAGUGGGUUUUAAUGUUUAGUGAAGAUGAGAGAAUACCCCAUGCAUGAAGGGACUAGACUGGGAGUCCUGACUCCUGAAUUGGCUAGUUGCCGAGUCUCUGUCUUGGUUCUCUCAUUCGUAAAGCCUCCUCGACCCUGCGACCCUGGAGCCCGUGGCCUCCUUGUACUGGCUCUCUCCCUGCUAACUCGGGCUGUGAUGCCUGCGCCGUGGUACCCGCGGGUCUGCUCGCGCUUUCAGGAUCCGGUGUGCCCCUCAGGACAGCCCAAGGUUAUGUCUGCACAGCUGAGAUAACUGAACCCAGCUCUCUGGCUCAAUACCAAAUCUGAACUUCCAUCCCUUUGUGGGCUGGAUUUUCCCGAGAAUGCAAACCACAGGAAGAACACAACCUUGAAGAGGUUUGCUGGCUAAAGAGUCCUCCUCUCUCACCCCGCCAAGCCCGUAUCUACAGAGAGCACUGUGAUGCCAGCCCUUAGAUGUGGUAGAGCCAGUCUGGGGUGAGCAGAGUUGGUGGCAGCCUGAGGAUGUCGUUUGGGAGGCCCUGGAACAUUCCUCCAGACAAGUCAUCCCAUCCAGUUUCGUUGCCUGAAAUAUUAAUGUCCUCUGGGUUGCCAUGUUGAAUGACGCAGUUAGAUAGAAAUAUUUACUUGGCUGCAGCUGCCGGCCACUAACACCAUAGUAUGAAUCAGUUCACCUGUCUACUCUGAGCUCGGAGUCCCUGGGUGGCUCAAAUGUUUAAGCACUCGACUACUGGCCAAAAGGUUAGUGAUUCAAAGUCACCCAGAGGUGCUUUAGAAGGAUCUGCUUCCGAAAGCUCACAGCCUUGAAAACCUUAUGAAGCAGUUCUAUCUACACACCUGGGGUUGCCACAAAUUGGAAUCAACAAAGCGCAGCCCAGACCUGUUCUCCCCCAUCCCGUCACUCUCAAGGAAGAAGCUAGAACUUCCAGGGUUCCAAAUGCUACUGUGUCUUCCCUCCCAGCCUCUCCGUGUGACACUUGGUCAGUGUUCUGGAACAACCCAGGUAUAACCUAUAACCUCAGUCAAAGCUUAUGGGGUCCUUACUAGGGGCAAACACUUCACAUCAUUUACUGCACUCGAGAGCCCCUUGAGGACGAAGUCGUUAUUGGCACAUUUCCCAGCAAGUUAAACUGAGGUUAGGAGAGUGGCUAGCGGGCUCCCAGCCAUAGCCCUGGCGUGCCACGAGCUGUGUGUGACUCUUGAGAGUGCUUAAUCUCAGUACUUGGUGAUUCCCCAUAAGAUUUCUGUGGAGCCAACAGCCGCCCGGCAGAGAGAGGUGGCACGCAAGCUGAGCUAGUGCUGCGGAAGGCUCCUGGGCCACCUACGGCAAGGCUUCCCCAGCCCUCAGACGCUGCAACCCUGACUCAAAUCAGGAGGAAGCUGGGGGUUAGUAGAGAAAUGUCAGCAGCAAUCAGGGACAAACUAGUCGUCUGCCCGCUGCUGCUGCUGUCACAGAGGCUGUUGGAGGCUGCCACGGGGCUGCCACCUGGGGUGCCUAUGUCGGGGCAGAUGUAUACAGAGGCUGCCCAUGGAAGCCCCCUGACAUCAGGGAAGUCUCCUGCAGUCCCCAAGAGCACCAUCAGGUCAGUGGCUCUGUGCCUCAGUUUCUCCAAAGGACUCAGGGGCGCUUACCUACAGGUGGUCCAGUGCAUCUGAGUGAGCUGCGAAUCGUCAUGGUCUGCUCUGGGCUGGCUGCCAGCCUGCUGGGGAG
Loxodonta africana (African savanna elephant) is the source of this 10687-nucleotide long non-coding RNA. RefSeq lists it as uncharacterized. The record is from RefSeq and is a predicted model, not a curated record. The transcript is spliced from 2 exons. Lineage: Eukaryota; Metazoa; Chordata; Mammalia; Proboscidea; Elephantidae.